Molecule: ribosomal RNA, 495 nt
Filed under: uncultured bacterium
Lineage: Bacteria
Description: partial 16S ribosomal RNA
Rfam family: Bacterial small subunit ribosomal RNA
Source: RNAcentral
GACGAACGCUGGCGGCGUGCCUAAUACAUGCAAGUAGAACGCUGAAGGAGGAGCUUGCUUCUCUGGAUGAGUUGCGAACGGGUGAGUAACGCGUAGGUAACCUGCCUGGUAGCGGGGGAUAACUAUUGGAAACGAUAGCUAAUACCGCAUAAUAGCAGUUAUUGCAUGAUAACUGUUUGAAAGGUGCAAUUGCACCACUACCAGAUGGACCUGCGUUGUAUUAGCUAGUUGGUGGGGUAACGGCUCACCAAGGCGACGAUACAUAGCCGACCUGAGAGGGUGAGCGGCCACACUGGGACUGAGACACGGCCCAGACUCCUACGGGAGGCAGCAGUAGGGAAUCUUCGGCAAUGGACGGAAGUCUGACCGAGCAACGCCGCGUGAGUGAAGAAGGUUUUCGGAUCGUAAAGCUCUGUUGUAAGAGAAGAACGAGUGUGAGAGUGGAAAGUUCACACUGUGACGGUAUCUUACCAGAAAGGGACGGCUAACUACGUG